This 1540-nucleotide long non-coding RNA is filed under the name Heterocephalus glaber (naked mole-rat). RNAcentral describes it as "lncRNA (ENSHGLG00000045395.1)". Lineage: Eukaryota; Metazoa; Chordata; Mammalia; Rodentia; Bathyergidae. The record is from RNAcentral.
CUAAGGUGACUCCUUAUCAAGGAAGUAAUCUGCAGACUAUCUUUGUUUAAACUUGCAACCUGCUUUGUCAAGGAAAACUGCCUAUGAAAUUUUCAUUAUAAUAGACAGCUUUUCAUAAUGAAUGAAAAACAGCUAUUAUGAUUGAAAACAAAUUGCUCUGAAACAUAUUCUUUGAAACAAUGUGCUGCUUAAUUGUAUUUUGGAGGAGGGGGAGGCUAAGGCAAUUCUGUUUAAUUGGUUACAUUUUUCAGUUCUAUAAAUUAAUUUGCACUACCCAAUAUCACUUAAUUUUUCCCUAGGAAAGCUUUUGCUUGCCCUAGCAAUAUUAUAACUGCUAAUUCAAUUACACUGAAAUUGUUUAAUAGAAAAUAUAAUUGCUUAUUCAUACAGAAUACCCAUUAAAGAAGUGCAAAAGCGUGAACCUGAGGGUUAGUGCAUAUUAAUACUUUGGGAAUAAAGAUGGGAAUGUUGUGCAGAGAAGGUACUGGCUGAUCUUUAAUUGUUCAUCACCUGCCUCCAAAAUAAUAUGAAUGGACCCAAACUAAAUGACCACUCAUUACAAGUUUCAAUUUAGGAGCUUGGCUGGGGUCAGCAGAUUGCUUAUGCUGAUCUCAAUGAUUUGAAGUUGUGAUUACCAUAAGCAAUUUAAAUUUUAUUGAUCUCCCCUUCUGAAAGUUGUAAUUGAGCAUAGAUGUUGGACCCAGAGCUCUCCAAACUAAAUUGUACUCUGAAGCACUUGCUGGAUUCCUGCAAGAAUCAAUAAGCAGUCAGUCACAUUAACAAUGAAAUAGGUCCAUUAACAUACGGUGCUAUUGGUGAAACUUUAUUUAGGAAGGGUGUUAGUUCACUUCAUUGUUUUAUCAAUGGAUCUUGGCUGUACACAGAAAAGUAUUGCUUUAAUAUGUGUAAUAAACUUGUAUGAAAAUGAAAUUACAUUUUAUAAAUAUAUGGAAUGAGACUAGGUAGGCAGUUGAGUCCUUAUAUGAGAGUCAUUGUGAUUCAUAUCAUCAUUUUACUGUAAACAGAGGUUUUAUAUGACUGGAAUUGCAGCUUGCUUGCCGCAGUGCUUUGCAGUAAUUCUGAAUUUUUAUUCCUCCUUAUUAGAUACAGGGUUUCCCUCCAUCAAGGUUAAGUACGUCUCGAAGUCUCCAUGUUCAGUGGGUGGUGGUGAUCCAACUUCAUUCACGGUAGAUGAGAAACUCCUGGGGGGAUGGCAGAAAAACAGGUACAGAGAACCUAGGCAGAACAAAGUUGUGUUCUAAACCACCCACCUAUUUCUGCACUGUUAAAUAUGAGAGAAGUACACUUUCGAUUUUGACAGCCAUAUUUUCUUUGAGCUAUUGUAUUUUGGGGUAACUUCGUUACCAUAGCUUAGCCAGCCUAACACUUUCUUAAAAUGUGUAAUGCUUUUUGCUAUAGAUGCUAUUCUAGAGUUUCAUUGACUCGUUCAUUGUCCUCUGGAGGAACUGUGAGAAUCUGAGAAGUGGCUAGGUCUGACUUCUGAGAUCAUUUAUGAUGAGUAGAACUCUCUUAAAGACGC